RNAcentral lists this long non-coding RNA (809 nucleotides) under Ricinus communis (castor bean). Its description in RNAcentral is "long non-coding RNA (RCOM_LNC002087)". The record is from RNAcentral. Lineage: Eukaryota; Viridiplantae; Streptophyta; Magnoliopsida; Malpighiales; Euphorbiaceae.
UCAGCUUAUUCAAUUCUUGUUAUUAUGGACUGGGAUCAAUUGAUUUCCAAGAGAAGAGCCAUUAUCGUCCAGUUUUCUAAAUAUAAUUUUGAGCCUCCACUCCAGAUAAUACGCAAGAUAAUGUAAUAUCAAUCGAAACUGCAAUACGAUUGACCUCGUGACAUUAUAUUGGUUGAUUGUCUUCAUACACUGAAUUUAUUAUAUUAAUACUUUUUUCUUUCUAGCUGUGGUAAAAUUUUCUUAAUAAGCCAACACAUAUGAAGAAUAAUAUGAACAAAUAAAAUAAACAUAAGCCCAUCCAAUACAAACCCUCAAAAACAUAAAAGAAAGAAAACCCAAUCAAGAAUAGAAAAGACCAAAAUAUAUUUAAUGCUUGAAGAAAGCAAGCAUGGACAAAAUCAAAGAGGAGCAGAUCAUAGCACUAGAAAUCCCAGAAGAAUAGGCAGCUCCCUUGUCCAUGGUUGGUACCGGGGAUGGUGCCAUCCCAAAUUCCUGAGCUUCAACACUUGCAAAAUACAUUGCCACAACCAAAAGGAAUGAAGCCACAGCCUUGAAUGUGCUCAAUUGUGCCAUUGAUCUAUAGAUAACGAAAAGGAUUGGAAAGGAAAAAUGUAGAGGAAGUGAUGGAUUAUUGCUGUUGUUUGAUUUGAUAAAAAAAGCUUGUGUCUUGAAUGGUAUUUAUAGGAUUGGAUAUGAAAGAGUGUGGACCCAAAUUAAAACUUGGAAUUAGCUGUAACAUGUUUAAUUCCAGUAAGUAAAGGAACCUUUCAUAUGGAUAUUGGGUGUUGUUCACAUGGGUUAGCUUCAGC